This 466-nucleotide ribosomal RNA is filed under the name uncultured bacterium. Its description in RNAcentral is "partial 16S ribosomal RNA". It matches the Rfam family "Bacterial small subunit ribosomal RNA", at positions 28 to 507 of the family's 1533-position model. The record is from RNAcentral.
GAUGAACGCUGGCGGCGUGCUUAACACAUGCAAGUCGAACGGAAAGGCUCCUGCUUGCAGGGGUACUCGAGUGGCGAACGGGUGAGUAACACGUGGGUGAUCUGCCCUGCACUUCGGGAUAAGCCUGGGAAACUGGGUCUAAUACCGGAUAGGACGAUGGUUUGGAUGCCAUUGUGGAAAGUUUUUCGGUGUGGGAUGAGCUCGCGGCCUAUCAGCUUGUUGGUGGGGUAAUGGCCUACCAAGGCGUCGACGGGUAGCCGGCCUGAGAGGGUGUACGGCCACAUUGGGACUGAGAUACGGCUCAGACUCCUACGGGAGGCAGCAGUGGGGAAUAUUGCACAAUGGGCGCAAGCCUGAUGCAGCGACGCCGCGUGGGGGAUGACGGCCUUCGGGCUGUAAACUCCUUUCGCUAGGGACGAAGCGUUUUGUGACGGUACCUGGAGAAGAAGCACCGGCUAACUACGUG